RNAcentral lists this transfer RNA (72 nucleotides) under Camelus bactrianus (Bactrian camel). It matches the Rfam family "tRNA". Rfam says of the family: Transfer RNA (tRNA) molecules are approximately 80 nucleotides in length. Their secondary structure includes four short double-helical elements and three loops (D, anti-codon, and T loops). Lineage: Eukaryota; Metazoa; Chordata; Mammalia; Artiodactyla; Camelidae. The record is from Rfam by way of RNAcentral. RNAcentral also lists the same sequence under 1 other name.
GAGGGCAUAGCUCAGUGGUAGAGCGCAUGCUUAGCAUGCAUGAGGCCCUCGGUUCAAUCCCUAGUCCUUCCA